Molecule: ribosomal RNA, 253 nt
Filed under: uncultured bacterium
Lineage: Bacteria
Description: partial 16S ribosomal RNA
Rfam family: Bacterial small subunit ribosomal RNA
Source: RNAcentral
UACGUAGGGUGCGAGCGUUAAUCGGAAUUACCGGGCGUAAAGCGUGCGCAGGCGGCGGCUCAAGUCAGGUGUGAAAUCCCCGGGCUUAACCUGGGAAUUGCGCUUGAAACUAGGUCGCUAGAGUGUGGCAGAGGGGGGUAGAAUUCCACGUGUAGCAGUGAAAUGCGUAGAGAUGUGGAGGAACACCGAUGGCGAAGGCAGCCCCCUGGGUCAACACUGACGCUCAUGCACGAAAGCGUGGGGGGCAAACAGG